AUUGAACGCUGGCGGCAGGCCUAACACAUGCAAGUCGAGCGGAUGAAGGGAGCUUGCUCCUGGAUUCAGCGGCGGACGGGUGAGUAAUGCCUAGGAAUCUGCCUGGUAGUGGGGGAUAACGUCCGGAAACGGGCGCUAAUACCGCAUACGUCCUGAGGGAGAAAGUGGGGGAUCUUCGGACCUCACGCUGUCAGAUGAGCCUAGGUCGGAUUAGCUAGUUGGUGGGGUAAAGGCCUACCAAGGCGACGAUCCGUAACUGGUCUGAGAGGAUGAUCAGUCACACUGGAACUGAGACACGGUCCAGACUCCUACGGGAGGCAGCAGUGGGGAAUAUUGGACAAUGGGCGAAAGCCUGAUCCAGCCAUGCCGCGUGUGUGAAGAAGGUCUUCGGAUCGUAAAGCACUUUAAGUUGGGAGGAAGGGCAGUAAGUUAAUACCUUGCUGUUUUGACGUUACCAACAGAAUAAGCACCGGCUAACUUCGUG
RNAcentral lists this ribosomal RNA (484 nucleotides) under uncultured bacterium. Its description in RNAcentral is "partial 16S ribosomal RNA". It matches the Rfam family "Bacterial small subunit ribosomal RNA", at positions 30 to 507 of the family's 1533-position model. The record is from RNAcentral.